Molecule: ribosomal RNA, 430 nt
Filed under: uncultured soil bacterium
Lineage: Bacteria
Description: bacterial SSU rRNA
Rfam family: Bacterial small subunit ribosomal RNA
Source: RNAcentral
AGAACGAACGCUGGCGGCAUGCCUAACACAUGCAAGUCGAACGAGACCUUCGGGUCUAGUGGCGCACGGGUGCGUAACGCGUGGGAAUCUGCCCUUGGGUUCGGAAUAACAGUUGGAAACGACUGCUAAUACCGGAUGAUGACGUAAGUCCAAAGAUUUAUCGCCCAGGGAUGAGCCCGCGUAGGAUUAGCUAGUUGGUGAGGUAAAGGCUCACCAAGGCGACGAUCCUUAGCUGGUCUGAGAGGAUGAUCAGCCACACUGGGACUGAGACACGGCCCAGACUCCUACGGGAGGCAGCAGUGGGAAUAUGGACAUGGGCGAAAGCCUGAUCCAGCAAUGCCGCGUGAGUGAUGAAGCCUUAGGUGUAAAGCUUCUUUACCGGGAGUAUAAUGACUGUACCGGAGAAUAAGCUCCGGCUAACUCCGUACCA